This 585-nucleotide ribosomal RNA is filed under the name uncultured bacterium. Its description in RNAcentral is "bacterial SSU rRNA". It matches the Rfam family "Bacterial small subunit ribosomal RNA", at positions 338 to 916 of the family's 1533-position model. The record is from RNAcentral.
CCUACGGGAGGCAGCAGUGGGGAAUAUUGGACAAUGGGCGCAAGCCUGAUCCAGCAAUGCCGCGUGUGUGAAGAAGGCCUUCGGGUUGUAAAGCACUUUAGGCAGGGAAGAAAAAAUCGGCGAUAACAUCGCCGAUCUUGACGGUACCUGAGGAAUAAGCACCGGCUAACUCUGUGCCAGCAGCCGCGGUAAUACAGAGGGUGCAAGCGUUAAUCGGAUUUACUGGGCGUAAAGCGUGUGUAGGUGGUUAGAAAAGUCGAUUGUGAAAUCCCUGGGCUCAACCCGGGAACUGCUUUCGAGACUGUUUGACUAGAAUUCGGUAGAGGGAGGCGGAACUCCAGGUGUAGCGGUGAAAUGCGUAGAUAUCUGGAAGAACACCAAUGGCGAAGGCAACCUCCUGGGCCUGAAUUGACACUGAGACACGAAAGCGUGGGGAUCAAACAGGAUUAGAUACCCUGGUAGUCCACGCCGUAAACGAUGAGAACUUGACGUCGGUUUGCUCUGCGAAUCGGUGUCGUAGCUAACGCGAUAAGUUCUCCGCCUGGGGAGUACGGCCGCAAGGUUGAAACUCAAAUGAAUUGACGG